RNAcentral lists this long non-coding RNA (840 nucleotides) under Salmo salar (Atlantic salmon). RNAcentral's name for it is "lncRNA (ENSSSAG00000087165.1)". The record is from RNAcentral. Lineage: Eukaryota; Metazoa; Chordata; Actinopteri; Salmoniformes; Salmonidae.
UAAUUGUUAUGCUUUUCGUGAAUGUUUAUCGUGAGUAAUUUAGUACAUUUUUUGUAAAUUCACCGGAAGUUUGCGGGGGUAUGCUAGUUCUGAACGUCACAUGCUAAUGUAAAAAGCUGGUUUUUGAUAUAAAUAUGAACUUGAUUGAACAAAACAUGCAUGUAUUGUAUAACAUAAUGUCCUAGGUGUGUCAUCUGAUGAAGAUCAUCAAAGGUUAGUGUUGCAUUUAGCUGUCUUCUGGGUUUUUGUGACAUUAUAUGCUAGCUUGAAAAAUGGGUGUCUGAUAAUUUCUGGCUGGGUACUCUGCUGACAUAAUCUAAUGUUUUGCUUUCGUUGUAAAGCCUUUUUGAAAUCGGACAGUGUGGUUAGAUUAACGAGAGUCUUGUCUUUAAAAUGGUGUAAAAUAGUCAUAUGUUUGAGAAAUUGAAGUAAUAGCAUUUCUAAGGUAUUUGAAUAGCGCGCCACAGGAUUCCACUGGCUGUUACGUAGGCGGGACGAUUUCGUCCCACUGGCCCUAGAGAAGUUAUGUCAGUAGUCUAGUGUGAGGGGUUAUGUCAGUAGUCUAGUGUAAAGGGUUAUGUCAGUAGUCUAGUAUGAGGGGUUAUGUAGUAGUCUAGUGUGAGGGGUUAUGUCAGUAGUCUAGUGUGAGGGGUUAUGUCAGUAGUCUAGUGUGAGGGGUUGUGUCAGGAGAAACAGUGUUGCAGUAGUCUAGUGUAAGGGGUUAUGUCAGUAGUCUAGUGUCAGUGGUUAUGUCAGUAGUCUAGUGUGAGGGAUUAUGUCAGGGGGAACCAGUGUUGCAGUAGUCUAGUGUGAGGGGUUACGUCAGUAGUCUAGUGUGAG